RNAcentral lists this small RNA (988 nucleotides) under Pan troglodytes (chimpanzee). RNAcentral's name for it is "processed transcript". The record is from RNAcentral. Lineage: Eukaryota; Metazoa; Chordata; Mammalia; Primates; Hominidae.
GUAUGGUGUGACUGUAGUGAAGUUAGCACUUAGUGGUAUCAUUUCUGGCUUGAGCAAAUGGUUUUUUGAUGUAUUAUUAACUGAGAUGGAAAACAUGAAGCAAAGCAGGUUUAUUUAAGAUGAUGGGCAAGCUUGGUAUACCUGUUGGACAACUGAAUGAAACUAUCUGGUAGUAAGGGAAACAUGCAAUUUUCAUUGUGAGCUGCCUUCCAGAGUUUAUGGUAGAACUUCACUGACGUUGCUGAUGCCAAUGUGGAAUAAAGUAUCUGGAGUCCAUCUUUCACCAUCUUCUCCUGAGAUUGUACUGGACCGUGAUCACUCUUCUUCCAUUGGCUGCCUCUCUUCUGAUGCCAUUAUUUCAUCACCAGAGAAUACACAUGCAGAGAAUAGCAUUAUUCAGCAAUCAACACACACUCAUCUGGAUAUCUCACUUUUUCCAUUGGGUUUAACUGAUGAAAAAAGUAAUGGAACAAUUGCCCUUGUGGAUGAUUCUGAGGAUCCUGGAGCCAAUGUAUCUAACAUAGAGCUUCAGCAAAAAAUUUCAAGUCUGGAGAUUAAACUCAAAGUAUCUGAAGAAGAAAAACAGAGGAUUAAACAGGAUGUGGAAUCAUUGAUGGAAAAGCAUAAUGUCUUAGAAAAAGGCUUUCUAAAAGAAAAAGAGCAAGAGGCCAUUUCUUUUCAAGAUAGAUACAAAGAACUUCAGGAAAAACAUAAACAAGAAUUGGAAGACAUGAGGAAAGCUGGUCACGAAGCCCUCAGCAUUAUUGUGGAUGAAUAUAAGGCACUACUGCAGUCUUCAGUUAAGCAACAAGUAGAAGCUAUUGAAAAACAGUACAUUUCUGCAAUUGAGAAACAGGCACACAAGUGUGAGGAGUUGCUAAAUGCUCAGCAUCAGAGGCUCCUUGAAAUGCUAGAUACAGAGAAGGAACUGUUAAAAGAAAAAAUAAAGGAAGCUUUGAUUCAGCAAUCUCAAGAACAGAAGGUAAUA